RNAcentral lists this ribosomal RNA (260 nucleotides) under uncultured prokaryote. RNAcentral describes it as "partial 16S ribosomal RNA". It matches the Rfam family "Bacterial small subunit ribosomal RNA", at positions 524 to 782 of the family's 1533-position model. The record is from RNAcentral.
UACGUAGGCGGCAAGCGUUGUCCGGAUUUAUUGGGCGUAAAGCGAGCGCAGGCGGUUCCUUAAGUCUGAUGUGAAAGCCCACGGCUCAACCGUGGAAGGUCAUUGGAAACUGGGGAACUUGAGUGCAGAAGAGGAGAGUGGAAUUCCAUGUGUAGCGGUGAAAUGCGUAGAUAUAUGGAGGAACACCAGUGGCGAAGGCGACUCUCUGGUCUGUAACUGACGCUCAGGCACGAAGGCGUGGGGAGUCAAACAGGAUUAGA